RNAcentral lists this ribosomal RNA (497 nucleotides) under uncultured bacterium. RNAcentral's name for it is "partial 16S ribosomal RNA". It matches the Rfam family "Bacterial small subunit ribosomal RNA", at positions 28 to 507 of the family's 1533-position model. The record is from RNAcentral.
GAUGAACGCUGGCGGCGUGCCUAAUACAUGCAAGUCGAGCGAACAGACGAGGAGCUUGCUCCUCUGUCGUUUGCGGCGGACGGGUGAGUAACACGUGGAUAACCUACCUAUCAGACUGGGAUAACUUCGGGAAUGCGUAUCUAAUUCCAUAUAAUCUAUUUACCCGUAUGGUUCGAUAGUAAAAUACUGGUUUUCUGUUGCUUAUACGUGGUUUCGCGCUGCAUUAGCUAGUUUGUAAGGUAAAGGCUUAGCAAGGCAACGAUGCGUAGCCGACCUGAGAGAGUGAUAGGCCACACUGGAACUGAGACACGGUCCAGACUCCUAAGGGAGGGAGCAGUAGGGAAUCGGACGCAAUGGGGGAAAGCAUGACGGAGCAAGGCCGAGUGAGUGAUGAAGGUCUUCGGAGAGGAAAAAUCGGUUAUGAGGGAAGAACAAAUGUGUAAGUAAAUAUGCACGAAUUGACGGUACCUAAACAGAAAGCCCCGGCUAACUACGUG